AUUGAACGCUGGCGGCAUGCCUUACACAUGCAAGUCGAACGGCAGCGCGGACUUCGGUCUGGCGGCGAGUGGCGAACGGGUGAGUAAUAUAUCGGAACGUGCCCUGGAGUGGGGGAUGACCAGUCGAAAGACUGGCUAAUACCGCAUACGAUCUACGGAUGAAAGUGGGGGAUCGCAAGACCUCAUGCCCGUGGAGCGGCCGAUAUCUGAUUAGCUAGUUGGUGGGGUAAGAGCCCACCAAGGCAACGAUCAGUAGCUGGUCUGAGAGGACGACCAGCCACACUGGGACUGAGACACGGCCCAGACUCCUACGGGAGGCAGCAGUGGGGAAUUUUGGACAAUGGGGGCAACCCUGAUCCAGCAAUGCCGCGUGUGUGAAGAAGGCCUUCGGGUUGUAAAGCACUUUUGUCCGGAACGAAACGGUGAAGGUUAAUACCCUUUGCUACUGACGGUACUGGAAGAAUAAGCACCGGCUAACUACGUGCCAGCCGCCGCCGUAA
Molecule: ribosomal RNA, 500 nt
Filed under: uncultured bacterium
Lineage: Bacteria
Description: partial 16S ribosomal RNA
Rfam family: Bacterial small subunit ribosomal RNA
Source: RNAcentral